Molecule: transfer RNA, 72 nt
Filed under: Ophiostoma novo-ulmi subsp. novo-ulmi H327
Lineage: Eukaryota; Fungi; Ascomycota; Sordariomycetes; Ophiostomatales; Ophiostomataceae
Also listed under: 1 other name
Description: tRNA-Glu (TTC) (tRNA-Glu-TTC-1-1)
Rfam family: tRNA
About the family: Transfer RNA (tRNA) molecules are approximately 80 nucleotides in length.
Source: RNAcentral
UCCGAUAUGGUGUAACGGUCAACAUCCGUCGCUUUCACCGACGAGCUCGGGGUUCGAUUCCCCGUAUCGGAG